Molecule: ribosomal RNA, 381 nt
Filed under: uncultured eukaryote
Lineage: Eukaryota
Description: partial 18S ribosomal RNA
Rfam family: Eukaryotic small subunit ribosomal RNA
Source: RNAcentral
CAAUAGCGUAUAUUAAAGUUGUUGCAGUUAAAAAGCUCGUAGUUGGAUUUCUGGUUGAAGCGACCGGUCGGGCGUUGAUUCGUCUGCACUGGAGUCGGUUUUGGCCAUCCUCUAGGAAAGUGCGUCUGGUAUUAAGUUAUCGGGCGUAUGAUCCUGGUCUUUUACUGUGAAAAAUUAGAGUGUUUAAAGCAGGCCUUCGCCUUGAAUACAUUAGCAUGGAAUAAUAAGAUAGGACUUUGGUCUAUUUUGUUGGUUUGCAGACCGAAGUAAUGAUUAAUAGGGAUAGUUGGGGGUAUUUAUAUUCCGAUGUCAGAGGUGAGAUUCUUAGAUUUUCGGAAGAUAAACUUAUGCGAAAGCAUUUACCAAGGAUGUUUNCAUUAA